GGGGCUGACUGGUUUCGACGUUCGGAUCCGGAAGCCGCGUGCGACCCGAGUUGCUCAGACUCGUUAAUCGGGGCACAAAAAAGAACCGCCAACAGCGAGUUCGCUCUCGCCGCCUGAUUUUUCAGACGGUAUGAGAGAAAUCGUGACCAGCAAUGGCGCACGGGGCCAGACCACUGCAGCCCGGCAACAGAAGCAGUGGUGGACGGCAGGGAGAGACCGCUGGCGGCGUGAAAGAACGCUGACUUCGAGGAAAGACUCGGCGGAGAACUUCGGUUCAAUCGACCCGGCGACGCGUUAACCGCAAGGCGCACUCUCGGGAAUGGUCGUAGCACGUCAGGUAACCGCCGAGCGGACGGGAGUUCGAUUCUCCCCAGCUCCACGG
RNAcentral lists this transfer-messenger RNA (382 nucleotides) under Microthrixaceae. RNAcentral describes it as "JADJBW01 sp016703525 Standard tmRNA". It matches the Rfam family "transfer-messenger RNA". Rfam says of the family: Bacterial tmRNA, also known as 10Sa RNA or SsrA, is named for its dual tRNA and mRNA-like properties. Its role is to liberate the mRNA from a stalled ribosome. RNAcentral also lists the same sequence under 1 other name. The record is from RNAcentral. Lineage: Bacteria; Bacillati; Actinomycetota; Acidimicrobiia; Acidimicrobiales.